This 253-nucleotide ribosomal RNA is filed under the name uncultured bacterium. RNAcentral describes it as "partial 16S ribosomal RNA". It matches the Rfam family "Bacterial small subunit ribosomal RNA", at positions 524 to 776 of the family's 1533-position model. The record is from RNAcentral.
UACGUAGGUGGCAAGCGUUGUCCGGAUUUACUGGGUGUAAAGGGCGUGUAGCCGGGAAGGCAAGUCAGAUGUGAAAUCCGGAGGCUCAACCUCCGAAUUGCAUUUGAAACUGUUUUUCUUGAGUACUGGAGAGGCAGACGGAAUUCCCUGUGUAGCGGUGAAAUGCGUAGAUAUAAGGAGGAACACCAGUGGCGAAGGCGGUCUGCUGGACAGCAACUGACGGUGAGGCGCGAAAGCGUGGGGAGCAAACAGG